AAUAAUUUUUAUUUAUUUAUAAUUCAUAUACUAAUACAAGAAAGAGCACAACCGUCAACAGGCUGACGAUUGACUUUGGGACACUAUUUCCAACAAUCUCCCACUUGGCCUAAAGCCAAUCGGUGCAGUAUCUAAUACCCAUCUUCGACUUGAAGUCGUCGAACUCCUUCACCGCAAUGGCUUUAGUGAAUGGGUCGGCCAGGUUCUCCUUUCCAUCGAUCUUCUGAAGGUCGACGUCACCUCUAUCCAUGAUUUCUCGGAUG
This 263-nucleotide long non-coding RNA is filed under the name Elaeis guineensis (African oil palm). Its description in RNAcentral is "long non-coding RNA (EGUI_LNC082875)". The record is from RNAcentral. Lineage: Eukaryota; Viridiplantae; Streptophyta; Magnoliopsida; Arecales; Arecaceae.